AGCGAACGCUGGCGGCACGCCUAACACAUGCAAGUCGAGCGCAGUCCUUCGGGACCGAGCGGCGGACGGGUUAGUAACGCGUGGGAACAUACCCUUCUCUACGGAAUAGCCUCGGGAAACUGAGAGUAAUACCGUAUAAGCCCUUCGGGGGAAAGAUUUAUCGGUGAAGGAUUGGCCCGCGUAAGAUUAGAUAGUUGGUGGGGUAAUGGCCUACCAAGUCUACGAUCUUUAGCUGGUUUGAGAGGAUGAUCAGCAACACUGGGACUGAGACACGGCCCAGACUCCUACGGGAGGCAGCAGUGGGGAAUCUUAGACAAUGGGGGAAACCCUGAUCUAGCGAUGCCGCGUGUGUGACGAAGGCCUUAGGGUCGUAAAGCACUUUCGCCAAGGAUGAUAAUGACAGUACUUGGUAAAGAAACCCCGGCUAACUCCGUGCCAGCAGCCGCGGUAAUACGGAGGGGGUUAGCGUUGUUCGGAAUUACUGGGCGUAAAGCGCACGUAGGCGGACUUUUAAGUUAGAGGUGAAAUCCCAGGGCUCAACCCUGGAACUGCCUUUAAUACUGGAAGUCUUGAGUUCGAGAGAGGUAAGUGGAAUUCCAAGUGUAGAGGUAAAAUUCGUA
This 620-nucleotide ribosomal RNA is filed under the name uncultured Alphaproteobacteria bacterium. RNAcentral describes it as "bacterial SSU rRNA". It matches the Rfam family "Bacterial small subunit ribosomal RNA", at positions 28 to 692 of the family's 1533-position model. The record is from RNAcentral. Lineage: Bacteria; Pseudomonadati; Pseudomonadota; Alphaproteobacteria.